AGUGAACGCUGGCGGCAUGCCUAACACAUGCAAGUCGAACGGUAACAGGCCCGCAAGGGUGCUGACGAGUGGCGGACGGGUGAGGAAUACAUCGGAAUUUGCCCAGUCGUGGGGGAUAACGUAGGGAAACUUACGCUAAUACCGCAUACGACCUAACGGUGAAAGCGGGGGACCUGCAAGGGCCUCGCGCGGAUGGAUAAGCCGAUGUCGGAUUAGCUAGUUGGCGGGGUAAGAGCCCACCAAGGCGACGAUCCGUAGCUGGUCUGAGAGGAUGAUCAGCCACACUGGGACUGAGACACGGCCCAGACUCCUACGGGAGGCAGCAGUGGGGAAUAUUGGACAAUGGGGGCAACCCUGAUCCAGCAAUGCCGCGUGUGUGAAGAAGGCC
RNAcentral lists this ribosomal RNA (388 nucleotides) under uncultured bacterium. Its description in RNAcentral is "bacterial SSU rRNA". It matches the Rfam family "Bacterial small subunit ribosomal RNA", at positions 29 to 416 of the family's 1533-position model. The record is from RNAcentral.